This 120-nucleotide ribosomal RNA is filed under the name uncultured bacterium. Its description in RNAcentral is "partial 16S ribosomal RNA". It matches the Rfam family "Bacterial small subunit ribosomal RNA", at positions 215 to 334 of the family's 1533-position model. The record is from RNAcentral.
GGGCACCAUGAGGGGCUCGCGGCCUAUCAGCUAGUUGGCGAGGUAACGGCUCACCAAGGCGACGACGGGUAGCUGGUCUGAGAGGAUGGCCAGCCACAUUGGGACUGAGAAACGGCCCAG